This 500-nucleotide ribosomal RNA is filed under the name uncultured bacterium. RNAcentral's name for it is "partial 16S ribosomal RNA". It matches the Rfam family "Bacterial small subunit ribosomal RNA", at positions 30 to 523 of the family's 1533-position model. The record is from RNAcentral.
AUUGAACGCUGGCGGCAUGCCUUACACAUGCAAGUCGAACGGCAGCACGGGAGCAAUCCUGGUGGCGAGUGGCGGACGGGUGAGUAAUGUAUCGGAACGUGCCCAGUCGUGGGGGAUAACGUAGCGAAAGCUACGCUAAUACCGCAUACGAUCUAUGGAUGAAAGCGGGGGACCGUAAGGCCUCGCGCGAUUGGAGCGGCCGAUAUCAGAUUAGGUAGUUGGUGGGGUAAAGGCCUACCAAGCCGACGAUCUGUAGCUGGUCUGAGAGGACGACCAUCCACACUGGGACUGAGACACGGCCCAGACUCCUACGGGAGGCAGCAGUGGGGAAUUUUGGACAAUGGGCGCAAGCCUGAUCCAGCAAUGCCGCGUGCAGGAUGAAGGCCUUCGGGUUGUAAACUGCUUUUGUACGGAGCGAAAAGGCUCUCUCUAAUACAGGGGGCUCAUGACGGUACCGUAAGAAUAAGCACCGGCUAACUACGUGCCAGCCGCCGCGGUAA